RNAcentral lists this ribosomal RNA (679 nucleotides) under Oceanobacillus sp. LM3D. Its description in RNAcentral is "bacterial SSU rRNA". It matches the Rfam family "Bacterial small subunit ribosomal RNA", at positions 172 to 836 of the family's 1533-position model. The record is from RNAcentral. Lineage: Bacteria; Bacillati; Bacillota; Bacilli; Caryophanales; Bacillaceae.
GAUAAUACUUUUCUUUGCAUAAAGGAAAGUUGAAAGGCGGUUUCGGCUGCCACUUACAGAUGGGCCCGCGGCGCAUUAGCUAGUUGGUGAGGUAACGGCUCACCAAGGCGACGAUGCGUAGCCGACCUGAGAGGGUGAUCGGCCACACUGGGACUGAGACACGGCCCAGACUCCUACGGGAGGCAGCAGUAGGGAAUCUUCCGCAAUGGACGAAAGUCUGACGGAGCAACGCCGCGUGAGUGAUGAAGGUUUUCGGAUCGUAAAACUCUGUUGUUAGGGAAGAACAAGUCGGGUAGUAACUGACCCGGCCUUGACGGUACCUAACCAGAAAGCCCCGGCUAACUACGUGCCAGCAGCCGCGGUAAUACGUAGGGGGCAAGCGUUGUCCGGAAUUAUUGGGCGUAAAGCGCUCGCAGGCGGUCCUUUAAGUCUGAUGUGAAAUCUCGCGGCUCAACCGCGAACGGUCAUUGGAAACUGGAGGACUUGAGUACAGAAGAGGAGAGUGGAAUUUCACGUGUAGCGGUGAAAUGCGUAGAGAUGUGGAGGAACACCAGUGGCGAAGGCGACUCUCUGGUCUGUAACUGACGCUGAGGAGCGAAAGCGUGGGGGAGCGAACAGGAUUAGAUACCCUGGUAGUCCACGCCGUAAACGAUGAGUGCUAGGUGUUAGGGGGUUUCCG